UAACACAUGCAAGUCGAGCGGACACGAUGAUAGCUUGCUAUCAGGCGUCGAGCGGCGGACGGGUGAGUAAUACUUAGGAAUCUACCUAGUAGUGGGGGAUAGCUCGGGGAAACUCGAAUUAAUACCGCAUACGUCCUACGGGAGAAAGCAGGGGAUCUUUGGACCUUGCGCUAUUAGAUGAGCCUAAGUCGGAUUAGCUAGAUGGUGGGGUAAAGGCCUACCAUGGCGACGAUCUGUAGCUGGUCUGAGAGGAUGAUCAGCCACACCGGGACUGAGACACGGCCCGGACUCCUACGGGAGGCAGCAGUGGGGAAUAUUGGACAAUGGGGGGAACCCUGAUCCAGCCAUGCCGCGUGUGUGAAGAAGGCCUUUUGGUUGUAAAGCACUUUAAGCAGUGAAGAAGACUCUUCGGUUAAUACCCGGGGACGAUGACAUUAGCUGCAGAAUAAGCACCGGCUAACUCUGUGCCAGCAGCCGCGGUAAUACAGAGGGUGCAAGCGUUAAUCGGAAUUACUGGGCGUAAAGCGAGCGUAGGUGGCUUGAUAAGUCAGAUGUGAAAUCCCCGGGCUUAACCUGGGAACUGCAUCUGAAACUGUUAGGCUAGAGUAGGUGAGAGGGAAGUAGAAUUUCAGGUGUAGCGGUGAAAUGCGUAGAGAUCUGAAGGAAUACCGAUGGCGAAGGCAGCUUCCUGGCAUCAUACUGACACUGAGGCUCGAAAGCGUGGGUAGCAAACAGGAUUAGAUACCCUGGUAGUCCACGCCGUAAACGAUGUCUACUAGUCGUUGGGUCCCUUGAGGACUUAGUGACGCAGCUAACGCAAUAAGUAGACCGCCUGGGGAGUACGGCCGCAAGGUUAAAACUCAAAUGAAUUGACGGGGGCCCGCACAAGCGGUGGAGCAUGUGGUUUAAUUCGAUGCAACGCGAAGAACCUUA
RNAcentral lists this ribosomal RNA (933 nucleotides) under Psychrobacter sp. K4-28L-020. Its description in RNAcentral is "bacterial SSU rRNA". It matches the Rfam family "Bacterial small subunit ribosomal RNA", at positions 49 to 973 of the family's 1533-position model. Lineage: Bacteria; Pseudomonadati; Pseudomonadota; Gammaproteobacteria; Moraxellales; Moraxellaceae. The record is from RNAcentral.